RNAcentral lists this ribosomal RNA (468 nucleotides) under uncultured bacterium. RNAcentral describes it as "partial 16S ribosomal RNA". It matches the Rfam family "Bacterial small subunit ribosomal RNA", at positions 28 to 507 of the family's 1533-position model. The record is from RNAcentral.
GACGAACGCUGGCGGCGUGCUUAACACAUGCAAGUCGAACGGAAAGGCCCUGCUUUUGUUGGUUUCUCGAUUGGCGAACGGGUGUGUAACACGUGUGUAACCUGCCCUUGACUUUGGGAUAACUUCUGGAAACUGGGGCUAAUACCGGAUAGGAGCUCCUGCUGCAUGGUGGUGGUUGGAAAGUUUCGGCGGUUGGGGAUGGACUCGCGGCUUAUCAGCUUGUUUGUGGGGUAGUGGCUUACCAAGGCUUUGACGGGUAGCCGGCCUGAGAGGGUGACCGGCGACAAUGGGACUGAGAUACGGCCCAGAGGGCAACGGGAGGCAGCAGUGGGGAAUAUUGCACAAUGGGAGGAAGCGUGAUGCAGAAACGCCGCGAGCGGGAUGAAGGCCUUCGGGUUGAAAACAGAUUUAGAAUGAGACGAAGAGAGAGUGACGGUAAUGGGUAAAGAAGCACCGGCUAACUACGUG